This is a long non-coding RNA of Gadus chalcogrammus (walleye pollock), 606 nucleotides long. RefSeq lists it as uncharacterized. Lineage: Eukaryota; Metazoa; Chordata; Actinopteri; Gadiformes; Gadidae. The transcript is spliced from 3 exons. The record is from RefSeq and is a predicted model, not a curated record.
CCAGACGCCACACCUUUAAGAGCACAUCACGUGACGCAGGUUCCAAAUUAGUCGCGCGUCAAAAUAUCCUCGUGUAACACAUUGACAUACAUUACCGGCAGUUAAAAAAGUGGGCAACAAACAACUGGAUUAUCGCCGACAGCAUUAAGAGGAAAAAUGUUUAUCAAAAUAGUUUGAUUGCAAUUAAACUCCAUGCGAAGUUCAAGAAACACGUUAAUUGGCCCAGGCGGAAGUACAGGCGCAUGGCGAUGUGGUUCGGAGUAACAGGAGGCGUCAACGCAACGUUUUGAUGGCUGAUGACUUGGAAAAUUCAGAAAGCAUCGAGAAAGAUGUCCUCUCAAGAUCCGUUCUUUUCAUGACUUCGAAGUGCCGCGUCACGACGAAGGGUCACCGAAGAUGAAAUCGGUCAAGAAGGCAGCCUAGAUCUGCAGGAAGUUGUACUACUGGCAGGAAACAAGAUGGAGUUGUAUGUUGUUGAAACCAUUGACGAAUAGCCAUAGAGGAGCGGCCAAAAAAAGUACAAAAUAGUAUUUACUUAAAAUAUAAAUAUAUUUUAUGCAAUAUGAUUUAAGAUGAAUUUGAAAUGCAACACAGCACAAUAAAUCA